GAUGAACGCUGGCGGCGUGCCUAAUACAUGCAAGUCGAACGCAUUGUGGUUGAAAUGAUAUGAAGAACUUGUUCAGAUUUGAUUUUCAACAUUGCAAUGAGUGGCGAACGGGUGAGUAACACGUGGGAAACCUACCUCUUAGCAGGGGAUAACAUUUGGAAACAAAUGCUAAUACCGUAUAAUAAUUAAAAACCGCAUGGUUUUAGUUUAAAAGAUGGUCUUGCUAUCACUAAGAGAUGGUCCCGCGGUGUAUUAGUUAGUUGGUGAGGUAAUGGCUCACCAAGACAAUGAUACAUAGCCGAGUUGAGAGACUGACGGCCACAAUGGGACUGAGACACGGCCCAUACUCCUACGGGAGGCAGCAGUAGGGAAUCUUCCACAAUGGACGAAAAGUCUGAUGGAGCAACGCCGCGUGUGUGAUGAA
This 424-nucleotide ribosomal RNA is filed under the name uncultured bacterium. RNAcentral describes it as "bacterial SSU rRNA". It matches the Rfam family "Bacterial small subunit ribosomal RNA", at positions 28 to 412 of the family's 1533-position model. The record is from RNAcentral.